RNAcentral lists this signal recognition particle RNA (299 nucleotides) under Cebus imitator (Panamanian white-faced capuchin). RNAcentral's name for it is "Metazoan signal recognition particle RNA (ENSCCAG00000012624.1)". It matches the Rfam family "Metazoan signal recognition particle RNA". Rfam says of the family: The signal recognition particle (SRP) is a universally conserved ribonucleoprotein. It is involved in the co-translational targeting of proteins to membranes. Lineage: Eukaryota; Metazoa; Chordata; Mammalia; Primates; Cebidae. The record is from RNAcentral.
GCCAGGCACAGUGUUGCGUGCCUGUAAUCCCAGCUACUCAGGAGGCUGAGGUGGGAGGAUCGCUUGAGUCCAGAGUUCUGGGCUGUAGAGCGCUGUGCCGAUCAGGUGUCCGCACUAAGUCUGGCAUCAAUAUGGUGACCUCCCAGGAGUGCGGGAACCACCAGGUUGCCUAAGGUGGGGUGAACCCGCCCAGGUCAGAAACGAAGAAGGUCAAAACUCCCAUGCUGAUCAGUAGUGGGAUUGCACCUAUGAAUAGCCACUGCACUCCAUCCUGGGCAACAUAGCAAGACCCCAUCUCU